RNAcentral lists this ribosomal RNA (411 nucleotides) under uncultured Pseudomonas sp. RNAcentral's name for it is "bacterial SSU rRNA". It matches the Rfam family "Bacterial small subunit ribosomal RNA", at positions 338 to 761 of the family's 1533-position model. Lineage: Bacteria; Pseudomonadati; Pseudomonadota; Gammaproteobacteria; Pseudomonadales; Pseudomonadaceae. The record is from RNAcentral.
CCUACGGGGGGCAGCAGUGGGGAAUAUUGCACAAUGGGGGGAACCCUGAUGCAGCGACGCCGCGUGCGGGAUGACGGCCUUCGGGUUGUAAACCGCUUUUAUUGGGGAGCAAGCGUGAGUGAGUGUACCUUUUGAAUAAGCACCGGCUAACUACGUGCCAGCAGCCGCGGUAAUACGUAGGGUGCAAGCGUUGUCCGGAAUUAUUGGGCGUAAAGAGCUCGUAGGCGGUUUGUCGCGUCUGGUGUGAAAGUCCAUCGCUUAACGGUGGAUUGGCGCUGGGUACGGGCAGGCUAGAGUGUAGUAGGGGAGACUGGAAUUCUCGGUGUAACGGUGGAAUGUGUAGAUAUCGGGAAGAACACCAAUGGCGAAGGCAGGUCUCUGGGCUAUUACUGACGCUGAGGAGCGAAAGCG